This 423-nucleotide ribosomal RNA is filed under the name uncultured bacterium. Its description in RNAcentral is "bacterial SSU rRNA". It matches the Rfam family "Bacterial small subunit ribosomal RNA", at positions 355 to 776 of the family's 1533-position model. The record is from RNAcentral.
UGAGGAAUAUUGGUCAAUGGGCGAGAGCCUGAACCAGCCAAGUCGCGUGAGGGACGACUGCCCUAUGGGUUGUAAACCUCUUUUCUACGGGGAGAAUAAAUACUACGCGUAGUAUGAUGACAGUACCGUAUGAAUAAGCAUCGGCUAACUCCGUGCCAGCAGCCGCGGUAAUACGGAGGAUGCGAGCGUUAUCCGGAUUUAUUGGGUUUAAAGGGUGCGUAGGCGGUAUAUUAAGUUAGUGGUCAAAUGUCGGGGCUUCACCCCGGACAGCCAUUAAAACUGGUGUACUUGAGUACAGUCGAGGUAGGCGGAAUAAGUUAAGUAGCGGUGAAAUGCAUAGAUAUAACUUAGAACUCCGAUAGCGAAGGCAGCUUACCAGACUGACACUGACGCUGAUGCACGAGAGCGUGGGUAGCGAACAGG